UAAAUCAACAAAUAGACAGGAGAUUACAAUUCAAUCUUCACAAUCAAGGAAGAGCUAAGUACCUUCAUUGUUAUAAUCAGGGGAGAGCCAAAUCCAAUCUUCACAGUAACUCCUUGAUGUGCCAUCCUCAGGUCCCUGUUCAGGCACCACCUGUAGAGCCUGAUGGAUACUGAUCACACAGAUUAUUGAAUGGUCCCAAAGAGAAGGUGGGGGAGAUGAGAAAUAUACUUGGGACCAAGAGGACAAGAGACAAGCUGAUUGCAAAUCAAUGAAUCUUUCAAGAGGUGGUAGGGUGCCUCUCCUUGGAGAUCUUCACACAGGAGCUAGAUGACCACUUGUUCAUUCACAUAUUCUGUGGUCCUGCGUUAUCUCCAUUUGAUUCAGCAAAUGUUCAUCAAGUGCUGACUACGUACAAGGCACCAUCCUAAGCAAUGAGAUGAGGAACUAAGGCAAGCAGGGUUAAAUGACUUGCCCAGAGUCACACAUCUAUACCUCACCUUUCCAGCAAGAUGGGCAGCACAGAUCAUCAUCAUUUGAGGAAAUAACCUAAGCCAGGUACCUUGCAGACCCCAAAAUCAAAGCAGGGAAUAUUGAUGAGAAAAAUCACACAGAGGGUGCUGAGUAGAUGAUUCCAACCUGCCAAGCAGCCACCCUGUGACCUCCUGGCACCAACAAGUGACCUCAUCAAGACAUUGUGGCCUGAUGGCUCCCAGCAAAAGACAUCUUGCAGGAGAUGGAAACUCAACUGAAUCUUGAAAGAAAUUCAAGGAUUGCUGCGAGGCCUUGGUAGAACUAAGCCCCCUUCUCUUCCCUUCCCCUAUCAGCACCCCCCUUCCCCGUACCUGCUGAAACUGCAGAAUAAAAACAGCUGUUCCACUUGAUAGGACA
Molecule: long non-coding RNA, 888 nt
Filed under: Monodelphis domestica (gray short-tailed opossum)
Lineage: Eukaryota; Metazoa; Chordata; Mammalia; Didelphimorphia; Didelphidae
Description: lncRNA (ENSMODG00000046780.1)
Source: RNAcentral